GACGAACGCUGGCGGCGGGCUUAACACAUGCAAGUCGAACGGAAAGGCCCUGCUUUUGUGGGGUGCUCGAGUGGCGAACGGGAGAGUAACACGUGAGUACCCUGCCAUGGGCAUAGGGAUAACUUCAGGAAACUGGGACUACUACCGGAUAGGAGAUCCUGCUGCAUGGUGAGGGUUGGAAAGUUUCGGCGGGUGGGGAUGGGCUCGCGGCUGUUCUUCUUGGUGGUAGGGUCGUGGCUAACCAAGGCUUUGACGGGUAGCCGGCCUGAGAGGGGGACCGGCCACAGUGGGACUGUGCUACGGCCCGGACUCCUGCGGGAUGCAGCAGUGGGGUAUAUUGCACGAUGGGCCGAAGCCUGAUGCAGGAACGCCGCGUGCGGGAUGAUGGCCUUCGGUUUGUAGAGCGCUUUCGCGUGUGACGAUGCGUGAGUGACGGUAAUGGGUAAAGAAGCACCGGCUAACUACGUG
This 468-nucleotide ribosomal RNA is filed under the name uncultured bacterium. Its description in RNAcentral is "partial 16S ribosomal RNA". It matches the Rfam family "Bacterial small subunit ribosomal RNA", at positions 28 to 507 of the family's 1533-position model. The record is from RNAcentral.